This 398-nucleotide ribosomal RNA is filed under the name uncultured bacterium. Its description in RNAcentral is "partial 16S ribosomal RNA". It matches the Rfam family "Bacterial small subunit ribosomal RNA", at positions 338 to 733 of the family's 1533-position model. The record is from RNAcentral.
CCUACGGGAGGCAGCAGUGAGGAAUAUUGGUCAAUGGACGAGAGUCUGAACCAGCCAAGUCGCGUGAAGGAUGAAUGCCCUAUGGAUUGUAAACUUCUUUUAUCUGGGAAUAAAAUGUUCCACGUGUGGGAUUUUGUAUGUACCAGAUGAAUAAGGAUCGGCUAACUCCGUGCCAACAGCCGCGGUACUACGGAGGAUCCGAGCGUUAUCCGGAUUUAUUGGGGUUAAAGGGAGCGUAGGGGGAUUGUUAAGUCAGCUGUUAAAGUUUGGGGCUGAACCGUAAAAUAGCAGUUGAUACUGGCAGUGUUGAGUAGAGUAGAGGUGUGCGGAAUUCGUGGUGUAGCGGUGAAAUGCUUAGAGAUCGCGAAGAACGCCGAGUGCGAAGGCAGCUUACCGGA